GAGAGAGACAUGCGCGCAUAUCAAUAAGCGGAGGAAAAGAAACUAACAAGGAUUCCCUUAGUAACGGCGAGUGAAGCGGGAAGAGCUCAAAUUUGAAAUCUUCAAGGUUUUACCUUGACGAAUUGUAGUUUAAAGAAGUGUUUUCUGCUGAAGUUUUGGUAAAAGUUCUUUGGAAUAGGACAUCAUAGAGGGUGAGAAUCCCGUAUUUGACCAUUAUUUCAGCUUUGUGAUACACUUUCAAAGAGUCGGAUUGUUUGGGAAUGCAGUCCAGAAUGGGUGGUAAAUUUCAUCUAAAGCUAAAUAUUGGCGAGAGACCGAUAGCGAACAAGUACCGUGAGGGAAAGAUGAAAAGAACUUUGAAAAGAGAGUUAAACAGUACGUGAAAUUGUCAAAAGGGAAGCGUUUGACACCAGUGUUGUUUUCUCGAAAAUCAAUUAAAAAUGGCUCGAUUUUGUAUUGUUGAGACCUUAAAAGCUCACUGUACAUUUUUCGUGUCUUUUUUAAUGCACUUUUCGUUUAACAAGUCAACAUCAGUUUCUUUUGUUGUAAAAGGGUCAUUGGAAGGUGGCUUUCUUUUCGGAGAAAGUGUUUAUAGCCUUUGGCCUCUGCAAUCGGAGAGAUUGAGGUCUGCAGCGUAGACUCUUCGGGGUUAGAUACAUUUGUGCUAAGUUAUAGCCUUUCAUAGACAACUUGUUGACUAUGAUCAGUCAUGUAGCUUACUCGCUUAUGCUAUUUUACCUACGCUUAGGAUGUUGAGUCGUAGAGCACGCAG
RNAcentral lists this ribosomal RNA (772 nucleotides) under uncultured Neocallimastigales. RNAcentral's name for it is "partial large subunit ribosomal RNA". It matches the Rfam family "Eukaryotic large subunit ribosomal RNA", at positions 23 to 634 of the family's 3401-position model. The record is from RNAcentral. Lineage: Eukaryota; Fungi; Neocallimastigomycota; Neocallimastigomycetes; Neocallimastigales.